Transfer RNA from Nadsonia fulvescens var. elongata DSM 6958, 73 nucleotides. It matches the Rfam family "tRNA". Rfam says of the family: Transfer RNA (tRNA) molecules are approximately 80 nucleotides in length. Their secondary structure includes four short double-helical elements and three loops (D, anti-codon, and T loops). Lineage: Eukaryota; Fungi; Ascomycota; Dipodascomycetes; Dipodascales. The record is from Rfam.
GGCCGGCUGGCGCAAUGGUUAGCGCAUCGGUUUUCGGUACCGAAGGUUGCAGGUUCGAGUCCUGCGUCGGUCG